RNAcentral lists this non-coding RNA (30 nucleotides) under Mus musculus (house mouse). Lineage: Eukaryota; Metazoa; Chordata; Mammalia; Rodentia; Muridae. The record is from RNAcentral.
UUCACUUGAACAUACAAUACCUAAAAUAAG